RNAcentral lists this ribosomal RNA (200 nucleotides) under uncultured prokaryote. Its description in RNAcentral is "partial 16S ribosomal RNA". It matches the Rfam family "Bacterial small subunit ribosomal RNA", at positions 1182 to 1382 of the family's 1533-position model. The record is from RNAcentral.
ACGUCAAGUCCUCAUGGCCCUUAUGGACUGGGCUACACACGUGCUACAAUGGCGGUGACAGUGGGAAGCAAUAGGGUGACCUGGAGCAAAUCCCCAAAAGCCGUCCCAGUUCGGGUUGUACUCUGCAACUCGAGUGCAUGAGGUUGGAAUCGCUAGUAAUCGUGGAUCAGCAUGCCACGGUGAAUACGUUCCCGGGCCUU